Molecule: small nucleolar RNA, 75 nt
Filed under: Octodon degus (degu)
Lineage: Eukaryota; Metazoa; Chordata; Mammalia; Rodentia; Octodontidae
Description: Small nucleolar RNA SNORD113/SNORD114 family (ENSODEG00000021685.1)
Rfam family: Small nucleolar RNA SNORD113/SNORD114 family
About the family: The imprinted human domain at 14q32 contains two clusters of tandemly repeated small nucleolar RNAs named 14q(I) and 14q(II) snoRNAs. These two clusters are named SNORD113 and SNORD114 respectively in the HGNC approved gene symbol nomenclature.
Source: Rfam by way of RNAcentral
UAGGUCCAUGAUGAAUACUAUGGGAAUCUGAAACAGUAUAUUUUGAUUACAUCUAAAUGGAUCUCUGAGAUCUGU